This 352-nucleotide unclassified non-coding RNA is filed under the name soil metagenome. Its description in RNAcentral is "partial contains 5.8S ribosomal RNA, internal transcribed spacer 2, and large subunit ribosomal RNA". The stretch from base 1 to 120 matches the Rfam family "5.8S ribosomal RNA", at positions 35 to 154 of the family's 154-position model. The record is from RNAcentral.
GAUGAAGAACGUAGCGAAAUGCGAUAAGUAAUGUGAAUUGCAGAAUUCCGUGAAUCAUCGAAUCUUUGAACGCACAUUGCGCCCCCUGGCAUUCCGGGGGGCAUGCCUGUCCGAGCGUCAUUUCUGCCCUCCAGCCCGGCUGGGUGUUGGGCGCUGUCCCCCCGGGGACACGCCCCAAAGGCAGUGGCGGCGCCGCGUCGGGUCCUCGAGCGUAUGGGGCUUUGUCACCCGCUCGGGACGGACUCGUCGGCGCUGGUCUUCCUCCAGGCGACCCUUCGGGGCUCGUCUUCCUUCGGUUGACCUCGGAUCAGGUAGGGUUACCCGCUGAACUUAAGCAUAUCAAUAGCGAGGA